This 378-nucleotide ribosomal RNA is filed under the name uncultured organism. RNAcentral's name for it is "partial 16S ribosomal RNA". It matches the Rfam family "Bacterial small subunit ribosomal RNA", at positions 527 to 897 of the family's 1533-position model. The record is from RNAcentral.
GGAGGGGGCCAGCGUUGUUCGGAAUUAUUGGGGCGUAAAGGGCGCGUAGGCGGCUCAGCAAGUCGGGUGUGAAAUCCCUCGGGCUUUAACCGAGGGAACUGCAUCCGAUACUGCCGAGCUUGAGUCCCGGGAGAGGAGAGUGGAAUUCCCAGUGUAGCGGUGAAAUGCGUAGAUAUUGGGAGGAACACCGGUGGCGAAGGCGGCUCUCUGGACCGGUACUGACGCUGAGGCGCGAAAGCCAGGGGAGCAAACAGGAUUAGAUACCCUGGUAGUCCUGGCUGUAAACGAUGGGCACUUGGUGUUGCGGGUAUCGACCCCUGCAGUGCCGAAGCUAACGCAUUAAGUGCCCCGCCUGGGGAGUACGGUCGCAAAGGCUGA